UACGGAGGGUGCGAGCGUUGUCCGGAAUCACUGGGCGUAAAGGGCGCGUAGGCGGCCUGAUAAGUAGGGGGUGAAAUCCUGCGGCUUAACCGCAGGGCUGCCUUCUAAACUGUCGGGCUCGAGCACAGUAGAGGCAGGUGGAAUUCCCGGUGUAGCGGUGAAAUGCGCAGAUAUCGGGAGGAACACCAAUGGCGAAGGCAGCUCGCUGGGACGUUACUGACGCUGAGACGCGAAAGCGUGGGGAGCAAACAGG
RNAcentral lists this ribosomal RNA (253 nucleotides) under uncultured bacterium. RNAcentral's name for it is "partial 16S ribosomal RNA". It matches the Rfam family "Bacterial small subunit ribosomal RNA", at positions 524 to 776 of the family's 1533-position model. The record is from RNAcentral.